GACGAACGCUGGCGGCGUGCCUAAUACAUGCAAGUCGAACGCAUUUUCUUUCACCGUAGCUUGCUACACCGACAGAAAAUGAGUGGCGAACGGGGGAGUAACACGUGGGUAACCUGCCCAUCAGCGGGGGAUAACACUUGGAAACAGAUGCUAAUAGCGCAUAAUUCCAUUUUCUUCAUGGUAAAUGGUUGAAAGGCGCUUUUGCGUCAAUGAUGGAUUGAGCCGGGGUGGGUUAGAUCGUUGGGGGGGUAAAGGCCUAACAAGGCUGGGAGACAUAGCCGGACUGAGGGGGUGGUCAGCCCCAAUGGGAGCGAGACACGGGCCAGUCUGCCUGCGGGAGGAGCCAGAGGGAAACUUUGGCAAGGGGCGGAAAGCUGGCCGCACAACGCCGCGGGAUUGAAGAAGGUUUUCGGGUCGUAAAACUCUGUUGUUAGGGAAGAACAAGGAUUAGAGUGGAAAGUUCAUCCCUUGACGGUAUCUAACCAAAAAGCCACGGCUAACUACGUG
Molecule: ribosomal RNA, 507 nt
Filed under: uncultured bacterium
Lineage: Bacteria
Description: partial 16S ribosomal RNA
Rfam family: Bacterial small subunit ribosomal RNA
Source: RNAcentral